Portunus trituberculatus (swimming crab) is the source of this 2030-nucleotide long non-coding RNA. RefSeq lists it as uncharacterized. The transcript has 2 exons. The record is from RefSeq and is a predicted model, not a curated record. NCBI's taxonomy places the organism in Eukaryota, Metazoa, Arthropoda, Malacostraca, Decapoda, Portunidae.
CAAGACACGUACAUGACAGUGAGCUACACACAUGAAAACCUGACAUGCACACACACACACACACACAGACACACACACACACUCGUCGUCAGGGAGCUGGGCAAGGAGUGAGGAGGAGGAAGAGGAGGAGGAGCAGCAGCAGCAGCAGAGAGCGUGGCAGUGAGAGAGGGAAGACUUGCCCGUGUGUGAGUGCUGCGUUCGUUAACAAGAGAAUGAAGGAGGAGUGAGUGUGUCGGUUCUGGCAAGCUCCCCGAUCCACACUCCCUAGUUCACGUCUGACUGUGAGCCGCGGCGAACACGACGAGCGGGUGUCAGACGCGUGUGUACGUUUACUACUAAAGAUUACUAAUAUGGCGGACUUUCUUGACGGGAAGGACAGUGCAGUGAGGAAAAGUCUUGACGCGUUGGCCGUUUACACCAAAGAGGAAAAAAAAGAAAAAGAGAGAGACGUACUGCUAAUACGAUACGGCAACAAAGGAGCCUCGUCUAACGCCAAGCCUCUAAUGAGUAACUUUGAUGGACUUGAAACUUCGACUACUGCGGAACCUUAGAUACCGUGGAACCUCGACUAAAAUGGAACUUCGUCUGCUGUGGAACUUCUUCUACCGCGGAACUUUGGGUUUCUGCAGGUGGUGGUGGUGGCGGUGGUGGUGGUAAGACUGAGAGGCGUUGUGGUUGCGUCCCCAAGCGCAGCCGAAGUCGAUGAGAUUUUACAAGUUACAGAAGCUGCGGAGUGUGAUGUUGCAUUGGUUACUCCCGACAAAGAGUCACCCCCUUUCCUUGCAAGACCCAACAACACCUUCUCUCCUCCAGGAACCAAUAAGCUUCUCUCCUUGACACCAGGAGCAGUGACAGCAACGAGGGCAGAGCUUCAGGCUAGGGAUGUCAGGACGAAGCGCGCUAAGUGGCAUUACUAACACGCACAAGUGCGAGAGAAGAAACCUUAAGGAAAACCGCGAGCAAGACGGAUCAGUGUCUGCGUGUCGCUAAAAGAUUGAUGACCAGUUGUGUGUUUCCAUGUUUCGUAAUGGUUUGUGGGCGACGCAUCCUUGUUCUAGCUGCAGACAGGAAGGCAAAAGAAGAAGAGGAGGAGGAGGAGAGCUUGGAGAGUAGAAAAAAAACGCAAAAAGUAAAAAAGUAGUUAAAAAAGAUGAAAAAACAAUAUGGCAGAAGAGAAAGUACGAGAAAAAAAAAAAAACAGUGAGACAGAAAAAUAUCAUGAAGAAAAAAUAGCAAAAAAGUAGAACAUAAAAGAAAGGAAGUGUUCACGUGUUGAUAUUCUUAAAAAGAUACAUAUAUCGAUUUUAACAUGAGAAGAAUAAGAAAAUACGAAAAAGAGACAAGAAAAAAAAAAAAAAAAGGCAGGUAGAAGAGAAAAGCACUCCACAUCCCGGUACAAGGUUCUAUCGAGUCCUACUGAGCAGCUAACAAUAUGCACUCCCGUCAACUCAAACUAUUUUCUAUUUAUUAUCGACUCGUACAUGUGUAGUUCGUAUAAUAGAAGCUCGCGUCACUUGGCUCCGGUUGUUGCUCGCACCAUCCUUUCCGCCACUCGUCCUCUCCCGUGGCUGCAGGUGCGUUAAGGGAGCGUUUGCGUCUUUAAACCACCCGACUUAAAAUUUUUGAAAAUGUAGUAAAAAAAAAAAAAAAUUCGGGGUAACUCUUAAAAGAAGUAUAAAUUAAGUUACGCCAAGAAGCCAGCGGGAGGAGAACGGCUGCACUUAACUCCCUGGUGGACGCUGCACCAAAGUUUUCAUUCCUCAGCCAUGGGAACACGUGUCGCGAUGACGAGAGUGACGCCAGCCAACACCCCGGCCCGCCACGAGUGUUGCUGCGCCCUUAUUCAACAACGCUCUCUCUCUCUCUCUCUCUCUCUCUCUCUCUCUCUCUCUCUCUCUUUCAUGAGUAAUUUCAAAGGUACCAGAUGAUUAAUAGCGUUCUCAAGACUGUUACUUCAAUUGGUAAUGUAGAAAAUAAUGUAGAAGUUACUUUAAUUUGUCACUAGAACCAUAAAAGCAGUCUUAAAAACC